RNAcentral lists this ribosomal RNA (613 nucleotides) under Candidatus Woesebacteria bacterium. RNAcentral's name for it is "partial 23S ribosomal RNA". It matches the Rfam family "Bacterial large subunit ribosomal RNA", at positions 283 to 872 of the family's 2925-position model. The record is from RNAcentral. Lineage: Bacteria; Candidatus Woeseibacteriota.
GUUGCCGGGUCGGGGUUGUAGGACAUUUGUCCGGAACAUGUGCGUUCCGGCGGCAGUUACCAAGUCAGGUGUUAGUCGAAGCGAGUGGAACCUCGCACCACAGAGGGCAAACGUCCCGUAGACGAAAGCGCACUGACCUGCCGAUGAUGUUCCUGAGUAGGACCACACCCGUGAAACGUGGUCUGAACCUGGGGGGACCACCCUCCAAGGCUAAGUACUCCCUGGUGACCGAUAGUGAACUAGUACCGUGAGGGAAAGGUGAAAAGUACCCCGGAAGGGGAGUGAAAUAGUACCUGAAACCAUACGCCUACAAGCGGUCGGAGCAUCUUCGGAUGUGACGGCGUGCUUUUUGCAUAACGAGCCUGCGAGUUACUCUUCAGUGGCAAGGUUAAGCGAUGAGCGGAGCCGCAGCGAAAGCAAGUCUGAAUAGGGCGACAUAGUCAUUGGAGGUAGACCCGAACCCGAGCGAUCUAUCCAUGGGCAGGUUGAAGCGUGGGUAAAACCACGUGGAGGACCGAACCCACCGAAGUUGAAAAUUCGGGGGAUGACCUGUGGAUCGGAGUGAAAGGCUAAUCAAGCUCGGAGAUAUCUGGUUCUCUCCGAAAUAUAUUUA